GACUAGAGUUUGAUCCUGGCUCAGAUUGAACGCUGGCGGCAUGCUUUACACAUGCAAGUCGACGGCAGCGGGGUGCUUGCACCUGCCGGCGAGUGGCGAACGGGUGAGUAACAUAUUGGAAUGUACCGAGUAGUGGGGGAUAACCAAUCGAAAGAUUGGCUAAUACCGCAUACGUCCUGAGGGGGAAAGCAGGGGAUCUUCGGACCUUGCGCUAUUUGAGCAGCCAAUAUCUGAUUAGCUAGUUGGUGGGGUAAGGGCCCACCAAGGCGACGAUCAGUAGCGGGUCUGAGAGGAUGAUCCGCCACACUGGGACUGAGACACGGCCCAGACUCCUACGGGAGGCAGCAGUGGGGAAUUUUGGACAAUGGGGGCAACCCUGAUCCAGCCAUGCCGCGUGUCUGAAGAAGGCCUUCGGGUUGUAAAGGACUUUUGUUAGGGAAGAAAAGGGAAGUGUUAAUACCACUUUUUGCUGACGGUACCUAAAGAAUAAGCACCGGCUAACUAC
This 505-nucleotide ribosomal RNA is filed under the name uncultured bacterium. RNAcentral describes it as "bacterial SSU rRNA". It matches the Rfam family "Bacterial small subunit ribosomal RNA", at positions 1 to 504 of the family's 1533-position model. The record is from RNAcentral.